Molecule: ribosomal RNA, 497 nt
Filed under: uncultured bacterium
Lineage: Bacteria
Description: partial 16S ribosomal RNA
Rfam family: Bacterial small subunit ribosomal RNA
Source: RNAcentral
GAUGAACGCUGGCGGCGUGCCUAAUACAUGCAAGUCGAGCGAACAGACGAGGAGCUUGCUCCUCUGACGUUAGCGGCGGACGGGUGAGUAACACGUGGAUAACCUACCUAUAAGACUGGGAUAACUUCGGGAAACCGGAGCUAAUACCGGAUAAUAUAUUGAACCGCAUGGUUCAAUAGUGAAAGACGGUUUUGCUGUCACUUAUAGAUGGAUCCGCGCCGCAUUAGCUAGUUGGUGAGGUAACGGCUUACCAAGGCAACGAUGCGUAGCCGACCUGAGAGGGUGAUCGGCCACACUGGAACUGAGACACGGUCCAGACUCCUACGGGAGGCAGCAGUAGGGUAUCUUCCGCAAUGGGCGAAAGCCUGACGGAGCAACGCCGCGUGAGUGAUGAAGGUCUUCGGAUCGUAAAACUCUGUUAUUAGGGAAGAACAAAUGUGUAAGUAACUAUGCACGUCUUGACGGUACCUAAUCAGAAAGCCACGGCUAACUACGUG